This 67-nucleotide transfer RNA is filed under the name Marmota monax (woodchuck). Its description in RNAcentral is "tRNA.Thr". The record is from RNAcentral. Lineage: Eukaryota; Metazoa; Chordata; Mammalia; Rodentia; Sciuridae.
GGUUGUGGCUUAGUGGUGGAGUACUUGACUUGUACAUGUGAGAUACUGGGUUCGAUCCUCAGCAUCA